GCCAGACCCAAUACUGGCCGUUUUCAGCAGCUGACAUUUACAAUUGGAAACAACACAACCCUUCUUUCUCCAAAGAUCCGGUGGCACUCACCGACCUAAUAGAAUCUGUUUUACUUACCCACCAGCCUACUUGGGAUGACUGCCAACAGGUCUUACAGGCCCUCUUAACCUCAGAAAAAAAACAAUGAGUGUUCCUAGAGGCCAGAAAGCAUGUUCUGGGAGAUGAUGGGCGUCCCACCCAGCUGCCUAAAAAAAUUGAUGCU
This 263-nucleotide long non-coding RNA is filed under the name Rattus norvegicus (Norway rat). Its description in RNAcentral is "long non-coding RNA NONRATT012051". The record is from RNAcentral. Lineage: Eukaryota; Metazoa; Chordata; Mammalia; Rodentia; Muridae.